UUCCACUCGCACGGGUGCUCGUAUCAUUGCUCCUCCUUGGUACUUGCUGAGAUCACACCGUUAGAACCUGAUCAGGACAACACCUGCGUAGGAAGCGAGUAAUCAACAACA
Molecule: non-coding RNA, 111 nt
Filed under: Perkinsus marinus
Lineage: Eukaryota; Perkinsozoa; Perkinsida; Perkinsidae
Also listed under: 1 other name
Description: TPP sequence
Rfam family: TPP riboswitch aptamer (THI element)
About the family: Vitamin B(1) in its active form thiamin pyrophosphate (TPP) is an essential coenzyme that is synthesised by coupling of pyrimidine and thiazole moieties in bacteria.
Source: RNAcentral